This 804-nucleotide ribosomal RNA is filed under the name uncultured bacterium. Its description in RNAcentral is "bacterial SSU rRNA". It matches the Rfam family "Bacterial small subunit ribosomal RNA", at positions 97 to 913 of the family's 1533-position model. The record is from RNAcentral.
GGCGAACGGGUGAGUAACACGUGAGCAACCUACCCCUGACACUGGGAUAACAGUUGGAAACAGCUGCUAAUACCGGAUAUGACCCUGGCAGGCAUCUGCCGGGGUGGAAAGCUCCGACGGUCAGGGAUGGGCUCGCGGCCUAUCAGCUUGUUGGUGAGGUAACGGCUCACCAAGGCGACGACGGGUAGCCGGCCUGAGAGGGCGACCGGCCACACUGGGACUGAGAUACGGCCCAGACUCCUACGGGAGGCAGCAGUGGGGAAUAUUGCACAAUGGGCGAAAGCCCGAUGCAGCAACGCCGCGUGCGGGAUGACGGCCUUCGGGUUGUAAACCGCUUUCAGCAGGGACGAAGCUAACGUGACGGUACCUGCAGAAGAAGCACCGGCUAACUACGUGCCAGCAGCCGCGGUGAUACGUAGGGUGCGAGCGUUGUCCGGAAUUAUUGGGCGUAAAGAGCUUGCAGGCGGUUUGUUGCGUCGGAAGUGAAAACUCAGAGCUUAACUCUGAGCCUGCUUUCGAUACGGGCAGACUUGAGGGAUGUAGGGGAGAACGGAAUUCCCGGUGGAGCGGUGGAAUGCGCAGAUAUCAGGAGGAACACCAGUGGCGAAGGCGGUUCUCUGGACAUUUCCUGACGCUGAGAAGCGAAAGCGUGGGGAGCAAACAGGCUUAGAUACCCUGGUAGUCCACGCCGUAAACGGUGGGCACUAGGUGUGGGACCCUUCCACGGGUUCCGUGCCGUAGCUAACGCAUUAAGUGCCCCGCCUGGGGAGUACGGGCCGCAAGGCUAAAACUCAAAGGAAUUUG